AGCGGCGGACGGGUGAGUAAUGCCUAGGAAUCUGCCUGGUAGUGGGGGAUAACGUCCGGAAACGGGCGCUAAUACCGCAUACGUCAUACGGGAGAAAGCAGGGGACUUUCGGGCCUUGCGCUAUCAGAUGAGCAUAGGUCGGAUUAGCUUGUUGGUGAGGUAAUGGCUCACCAAGGCUGCGAUCCGUAACUGGUCUGAGAGGAUGAUCAGUCACACUGGAACUGAGACACGGUCCAGACUCCUACGGGAGGCAGCAGUGGGGAAUAUUGGACAAUGGGCGAAAGCCUGAUCCAGCCAUGCCGCGUGUGUGAAGAAGGUCUUCGGAUUGUAAAGCACUUUAAGUUGGGAGGAAGGGUUGUAGAUUAAUACUCUGCAAUUUUGACGUUACCAACAGAAUAAGCACCGGCUAACUUCGUGCCAGCAGCCGCGGUAAUACGAAGGGUGCAAGCGUUAAUCGGAAUUACUGGGCGUAAAGCGCGCGUAGGUGGUUUGUCAAGUUGGAAGUGAAAGCCCCGGGCUCAACCUGGGAACUGCUUUCAAAACUGGCAAGCUAGAGUAUGGCAGAGGGUGGUGGAAUUUCCUGUGUAGCGGUGAAAUGCGUAGAUAUAGGAAGGAACAUCAGUGGCGAAGGCGACCACCUGGGCUAAUACUGACACUGAGGUGCGAAAGCGUGGGGAGCAAACAGGAUUAGAUACCCUGGUAGUCCACGCCGUAAACGAUGUCAACUAGCCGUUGGGUUCCUGAGAACUUAGUGGCGCAGCUAACGCAUAA
This 771-nucleotide ribosomal RNA is filed under the name uncultured bacterium. RNAcentral describes it as "bacterial SSU rRNA". It matches the Rfam family "Bacterial small subunit ribosomal RNA", at positions 94 to 862 of the family's 1533-position model. The record is from RNAcentral.